CCUACGGGUGGCAGCAGUGAGGAAUAUUGGUCAAUGGCCGGAAGGCUGAACCAGCCAUGCCGCGUGAAGGUUAGUGCCCUAUGGGCGUUAAACUUCUUUUGUGCGGGAGCAAUAAUGGUCACGUGUGGCCAGACGAGCGUACCGUACGAAUAAGCACCGGCGGAAUUCGUCGCAGCAGACGCGGUAAAACGGGGGAUGCAAGCGUUAUCCGGUAUUAUUGGGUCUAAAGGGUGCGUAGGCUGGGAGGUAAGUCAGCGGUGGAAUACCCCCAUUCAACGGAGUGAUGUGCCAUUGAUACUACGUUGCUGGAGUGCGGAUGCGGUAGGAGGAAUGUGUGGUGUAGCGGUGAAAUGCAUAGAUAUCACACAGAACACCGAUUGCGAAGGCAUCUCAC
This 394-nucleotide ribosomal RNA is filed under the name uncultured bacterium. RNAcentral describes it as "partial 16S ribosomal RNA". It matches the Rfam family "Bacterial small subunit ribosomal RNA", at positions 338 to 729 of the family's 1533-position model. The record is from RNAcentral.